RNAcentral lists this ribosomal RNA (492 nucleotides) under uncultured bacterium. RNAcentral's name for it is "partial 16S ribosomal RNA". It matches the Rfam family "Bacterial small subunit ribosomal RNA", at positions 30 to 507 of the family's 1533-position model. The record is from RNAcentral.
AUUGAACGCUGGCGGCAUGCUUUACACAUGCAAGUCGAACGGUAACAGGCCUUCGGGUGCUGACGAGUGGCGAACGGGUGAGUAAUGCAUCGGAACGUGCCCAGGGGUGGGGGAUAACGCAGCGAAAGCUGUGCUAAUACCGCAUGUGAUCUGAGGAUGAAAGCGGGGGACCAAGCAGCAAUGUUUGGCCUCGCGCCUCUGGAGCGGCCGAUGUCAGAUUAGGUAGUUGGUGGGGUAAAGGCCUACCAAGCCGACGAUCUGUAGCUGGUCUGAGAGGACGACCAGCCACACUGGGACUGAGACACGGCCCAGACUCCUACGGGAGGCAGCAGUGGGGAAUUUUGGACAAUGGGCGCAAGCCUGAUCCAGCAAUGCCGCGUGCGGGAAGAAGGCCUUCGGGUUGUAAACCGCUUUUGUACGGAACGAAAAGGCUCUGGCUAAUACCUGGGGCUGAUGACGGUACCGUAAGAAUAAGCACCGGCUAACUACGUG